UACGGAGGGGGUAAGCGUUGUUCGGAAUUACUGGGCGUAAAGCGCGCGCAGGCGGUCUUGUAAGUCGAAUGUGAAAGCCCUCGGCUCAACCGAGGAACUGCGUUCGAUACUGCAAGGCUUGAGUCCGGUAGGGGAUAGCGGAAUUCCCGGUGUAGCGGUGGAAUGCGUAGAUAUCGGGAGGAACACCUAUGGCGAAGGCGGCUAUCUGGGCCGGAACUGACGCUGAGGCGCGAGAGCUAGGGGAG
This 245-nucleotide ribosomal RNA is filed under the name uncultured bacterium. Its description in RNAcentral is "partial 16S ribosomal RNA". It matches the Rfam family "Bacterial small subunit ribosomal RNA", at positions 524 to 768 of the family's 1533-position model. The record is from RNAcentral.